Molecule: ribosomal RNA, 254 nt
Filed under: uncultured bacterium
Lineage: Bacteria
Description: partial 16S ribosomal RNA
Rfam family: Bacterial small subunit ribosomal RNA
Source: RNAcentral
UACGGGGGGAGCAAGCGUUGUUCGGAUUUACUGGGCGUAAAGGGCGGGUAGGCGGCCACCGCAAGUCAGUUGUGAAAUCUCUGGGCUUAACCCAGAAAGGUCAACUGAUACUGCGGGGCUAGAGUGCAGAAGGGGCAACUGGAAUUCUCGGUGUAGCGGUGAAAUGCGUAGAUAUCGAGAGGAACACCGGCGGCGAAGGCGGGUUGCUGGGCUGACACUGACGCUGAACUGCGAAAGCUAGGGGAGCAAACAGG